RNAcentral lists this ribosomal RNA (405 nucleotides) under uncultured bacterium. RNAcentral's name for it is "bacterial SSU rRNA". It matches the Rfam family "Bacterial small subunit ribosomal RNA", at positions 355 to 775 of the family's 1533-position model. The record is from RNAcentral.
CAAGGAAUCUUGGUCAAUGGGCGAAAGCCUGAACCAGCGACGCCGCGUGCAGGAUGAAGGCCCUCGGGUCGUAAACUGCUUUUACGUGGGAAGAAGAUCUGACGGUACCACGUGAAUAAGCCACGGCUAACUACGUGCCAGCAGCCGCGGUAAUACGUAGGUGGCAAGCGUUGUCCGGAUUUAUUGGGCGUAAAGCGCGCGCAGGCGGUUCGUUAAGUUCGGUGUGAAAGCUCCCGGCUCAACUGGGAGAGGUCAUCGGAUACUGGCGGACUCGAGGGAGGUAGAGGAAGGUGGAAUUCCCGGUGUAGUGGUGAAAUGCGUAGAGAUCGGGAGGAACACCAGUGGCGAAGGCGGCCUUCUGGGCCUUUCCUGACGCUGAGGCGCGAAAGCGUGGGGAGCGAACCG